This 553-nucleotide ribosomal RNA is filed under the name Fusarium sp. 00229-x1. RNAcentral's name for it is "eukaryotic LSU rRNA". The stretch from base 172 to 325 matches the Rfam family "5.8S ribosomal RNA". Lineage: Eukaryota; Fungi; Ascomycota; Sordariomycetes; Hypocreales; Nectriaceae. The record is from RNAcentral.
GCCUGCGGAGGGAUCAUUACCGAGUUUACAACUCCCAAACCCCUGUGAACAUACCUUUAAUGUUGCCUCGGCGGAUCAGCCCGCGCCCCGUAAAACGGGACGGCCCGCCAGAGGACCCAAACUCUAAUGUUUCUUAUUGUAACUUCUGAGUAAAACAAACAAAUAAAUCAAAACUUUCAACAACGGAUCUCUUGGUUCUGGCAUCGAUGAAGAACGCAGCAAAAUGCGAUAAGUAAUGUGAAUUGCAGAAUUCAGUGAAUCAUCGAAUCUUUGAACGCACAUUGCGCCCGCUGGUAUUCCGGCGGGCAUGCCUGUUCGAGCGUCAUUUCAACCCUCAAGCCCCCCGGGUUUGGUGUUGGGGAUCGGCUCUGCCUCACGGCGGUGCCGCCCCCGAAAUACAUUGGCGGUCUCGCUGCAGCCUCCAUUGCGUAGUAGCUAACACCUCGCAACUGGAACGCGGCGCGGCCAUGCCGUAAAACCCCAACUUCUGAAUGUUGACCUCGGAUCAGGUAGGAAUACCCGCUGAACUUAAGCAUAUCAAAGCCCGGAAGGA